UAGUGGCAGACGGGUGAGUAAUGCGUAGGAAUCUACCUAGUAGUAUGGAAUAGCCAUUAGAAAUGAUGGGUAAUACUGUAUAAUCCCUGCGGGGGAAAGAUUUAUCGCUAUUAGAUGAGCCUACGUUAGAUUAGCUAGUUGGUAAGGUAAUGGCUUACCAAGGCUAUGAUCUAUAGCUGGUCUGAGAGGACGAUCAGCCACACUGGAACUGAGAUACGGUCCAGACUCCUACGGGAGGCAGCAGUGGGGAAUAUUGGACAAUGGGCGAAAGCCUGAUCCAGCUAUGCCGCGUGAGUGAAGAAGGCCUUCGGGUUGUAA
RNAcentral lists this ribosomal RNA (318 nucleotides) under uncultured Ehrlichia sp. RNAcentral's name for it is "bacterial SSU rRNA". It matches the Rfam family "Bacterial small subunit ribosomal RNA", at positions 93 to 428 of the family's 1533-position model. The record is from RNAcentral. Lineage: Bacteria; Pseudomonadati; Pseudomonadota; Alphaproteobacteria; Rickettsiales; Anaplasmataceae.